ACGGGCCAGCGGUGGGAGGAAAAUUAAGCUGUGAACUGGAAUUCCAUCAGGCUGUCUACUGUAAAGCCUCGUGGCUUUAGAAAAGGGGCAGUAGUGGUCAGAAAUGACACCCAAAAGGUUCAGCAGAUGAGACCAAGGGAUUUCUACUUCUCCCUCCAACUCUAAAUGAAAGACUGGAGAAGGGGAGCAUGAAAUCAGUCCACAAACUAAAUGGUAAUGUUUUAAUUACAAUUCUAUUGUUAUU
This 244-nucleotide long non-coding RNA is filed under the name Zonotrichia albicollis (white-throated sparrow). RNAcentral describes it as "lncRNA (ENSZALG00000009207.1)". Lineage: Eukaryota; Metazoa; Chordata; Aves; Passeriformes; Passerellidae. The record is from RNAcentral.